Molecule: transfer RNA, 72 nt
Filed under: Camelus bactrianus (Bactrian camel)
Lineage: Eukaryota; Metazoa; Chordata; Mammalia; Artiodactyla; Camelidae
Also listed under: 1 other name
Rfam family: tRNA
About the family: Transfer RNA (tRNA) molecules are approximately 80 nucleotides in length.
Source: Rfam by way of RNAcentral
GAGGGUGUAGUUCAGUGGUAGAGCGCAUGCCUAGCAUGCAUGAGGUCCUGGGUUCAAUCCCUAGUACCUCCA